Molecule: ribosomal RNA, 719 nt
Filed under: Halomonas sp. DH74
Lineage: Bacteria; Pseudomonadati; Pseudomonadota; Gammaproteobacteria; Oceanospirillales; Halomonadaceae
Description: bacterial SSU rRNA
Rfam family: Bacterial small subunit ribosomal RNA
Source: RNAcentral
UGGGUAGCAAACAGGAUUAGAUACCCUGGUAGUCCACGCCGUAAACGAUGUCGACCAGCCGUUGGGUGCCUAGCGCACUUUGUGGCGAAGUUAACGCGAUAAGUCGACCGCCUGGGGAGUACGGCCGCAAGGUUAAAACUCAAAUGAAUUGACGGGGGCCCGCACAAGCGGUGGAGCAUGUGGUUUAAUUCGAUGCAACGCGAAGAACCUUACCUACUCUUGACAUCCUGCGAAUUUGGUAGAGAUACCUUAGUGCCUUCGGGAACGCAGAGACAGGUGCUGCAUGGCUGUCGUCAGCUCGUGUUGUGAAAUGUUGGGUUAAGUCCCGUAACGAGCGCAACCCUUGUCCUUAUUUGCCAGCGCGUAAUGGCGGGAACUCUAAGGAGACUGCCGGUGACAAACCGGAGGAAGGUGGGGACGACGUCAAGUCAUCAUGGCCCUUACGAGUAGGGCUACACACGUGCUACAAUGGUCGGUACAAAGGGUUGCCAACUCGCGAGAGUGAGCCAAUCCCGAAAAGCCGAUCUCAGUCCGGAUCGGAGUCUGCAACUCGACUCCGUGAAGUCGGAAUCGCUAGUAAUCGUGGAUCAGAAUGCCACGGUGAAUACGUUCCCGGGCCUUGUACACACCGCCCGUCACACCAUGGGAGUGGACUGCACCAGAAGUGGUUAGCCUAACGCAAGAGGGCGAUCACCACGGUGUGGUUCAUGACUGGGGUG